CUCUUAAAGUGCCAAGUCCCCGAGGGUCCUCAGGAAGGCUGUGAAUGUCUGAACUCAGAUGCGGCAGUGAGCAAGUUCCCAGGCAAAGCUUCCCCUGCAUCAGACGCUAGUCAGCAAACUACUCUCUCCUGCUGGCUUGAUGGCACAGGGCCAUGAUGGUGUGGCCCACCCAGCAAGGAGUGGAAAGCAGCCUCCAGUCAAAACUAGCAAGACACUGAGGCCACCGCCUGCCAGCAGCCCUGAGGACUCGGAGGCAGAUCCUGCCACGCUGAGCCUGGACAGGUCUGCCACCACGUCCCUGAGGCAGAAGACCAGCUCAGCCACAGCCGACUCCUGACCACGGGAGCAGAGGACAGGGUCUCACUAAGUUGCCCAGACUGACCUCCAGCUUGUGAUCCUCCUGCCUCCGUCUCCUGAGUAGCUGGAUUACAGGCCUGUACUACUGCUGCCAGCUGCAGGAUUCAUCUUAAUUUUAUCCCUUGGGGUCUGUGAUGUUUCGAGUGAGUCAACACUAGCACCUUGAACCUGGACUUCCAGCCUCCAGAGCUCUUCCUGUCACUAUAACAAAGUGCCUGAGACAGUUAGCUGAUGCGGAAAAAAGCUUAUUUUGGGAGUUCCAGCCUGUGCUCAGUCGGCCUUGUCGUUUGGGGCUUGUGGUGAAGCAGUGUGUCACACAGGACAUCGUGGAGCAAAACGGCUCAGCUCUUCACAAGCCAGGAAGCAAAGAGAAAAUGAGAUGGAGAGCACUCCCAAAGACCUGAAGACCCCCACCUGUCCCACCUCUUGAAAUUUCCACCAUCUCCCACAAGUGCUACCUGGGACCAAGGGCCCCCAUGGGUUUCUGGGGGGGACACUCAAGACCCAACUACAGCAGAACCCAGGUACCCAGUCAGGGCUUCCCGAGAACCAGAACCAGCAACCCCACCGCUAUGCCCUGCACCACGGUGUGUUGGCCAACUACAGACUGCAUAGCAGAGGGUGGCCCUGCAAGAUCAUGUCUCUUGGUGACAUCACAGCUGCCAGGCUGUGUAAGCAGCACACGCUGGGAUGUUCCCACGGCGACGAGAUGCUGAGGGAUGCCUCUGUCUGUCAGACGAUUCGUGACUGUACACAGAUACUUAGGAGACCUACCGUGGGAAUUGGCUCAUGUCAUUCUGGAGGCUGAGGAGUCCCACGAAAUGCUCUCAGGCGGGACCCGCAGCAGGACACUGGUGGUGUGGCUCAGUCUGAGUCCAGAGGCCCGAGAAUCAGGGGAGCGAUGGUUGACUGUCAGAGGCCUGGAAACGCCCAGGGCAGGGGCGGGGCGCUGGCCUGCGUCUGAGUUUGAAGGCUCAGGAGCGCUGGUGUCCUUUGGGUGUCCCAACCCCAGCAGAGAGAGCACACGCGUCCUCCUCCACCUGUGGGUCCACCCUGCCCUCAGUGGCCGAUGCCUGUCCACCCGGGUAAGGGCCGAUCUUCACUCAGUCCACGAAUUCAGGUGCUAAUCUCUUCCAGCAAUGCUCAGAAAUAAAGUCUGGCAUCCCUGAACCCUGGCAAGGGGACACCUAAGAUUGGUCAUCGCACCCAGACUGCACGACCAGCUCCAGUUCUCUUAAUUCAGAGCAAGAGGACCCGUUUAGACAAAACAAGGCCACGCAGCGCCCUGUGGCCCACCGGCAGCACACUGGCUUUCCAGAGGAAGCUGACCAAACUCUCUGGGGAUACAUCCAGUGCCCCCAAGCAGCGUAUCAGGAAUCAGGACGUGGUGUGUGAAUGGGGAGGAGGAAGGGAUGUGACAUCGCCUGCCCUCCAGCUUAUUCUGAAUUCCCUCUGAAGCAGGCCCUGACUCAGCACUGGGGUCCACACCCAGUCACCCCCUCAUCAGUGGGCUCCACCUCUGCGGAAUCCACCAAUGCAGAUAGAAGAUAUCUGGGGGGAACACACAUCAAUAAAAAAGAGCAAUACAUCAAGAAAAGUAUGAAUAAAAAAGUCAACAUCACAGCUGUUUCCACAGCAUGUAUGUCGCGUCGGUAUUACGAGUACCCUAGAGAUUGAGUGCACGGGAUGCGGUGGGUUAUACCAAAGACCUGCCGGCAUUUUCUCUAAGGGAUUGAGCAGCUGCAGAGGUGGGUGACCUCGGGGACCUGGAGCACAUGCCCUUCGGAUGCCAGGCCCCCUCUUCCAGGAGCGAGGUGGCUGGGGUACUUUCCCACCAGAUCUGAGCGGGUUUGAGUGAGGGCUGCUUCUGGUCUGCUUGCCCAGUGCCAAGGGCAGAAGGCACCCGUGCCUGGUCAGACUCGCUCCUCAGGGCACCGGAAGCAGAAGGCGCCGAGGGGCAGAGGAUGGGCCCUGGCCAUUUCCACUGCUGCUGGACCAAGCCACAGCAGCCACUGUCUCCUCUCCUCCUCGGUCUCCCUGCAGCUGUUGGGAGGUGGUGACUGCCUCCUGCCCUGUCCUCUCGGGCUGCAGGGGCGCCAUCAUUUCAACAGACCUUGGCCCCGGUGCCCACUCUACCCCUUUGUCUGGCCUCCCCCGCAGCAGAGAUUGGUGCUUCAGGACGCUGCCCACCUGGGACAGGCGGCCAGCAGGAUGUGCUGGCCUGGGAAGGGGCUUGGUACCCAGAGUGGAGCCACAGGCUGGAGCUCCAAAGCAGGCCACGCUGGGCCUCCCGAGGAGAGGAGAGGGGAACUGCUUCCAAGAACUCCUCCCCCUCCCCUCCCCUCCCCCAGCUCCAUGACUCAGAGGAAACGAGAAAGGGGACACGAAACACCCACAGCUCCAUGGGGUUCCAUGGGGUCACAGGAUCUGGAUUUCUCCAAGGAGGAGGAGCGAGGUCCUCGUCAAGAACCCAGGAAGUGCCCGCAGCUGGGGUCCUGGGGGCCACAGAACCUCACUGAUGGGUUUCCAUGUUGGCUGUGGUCCCGGGUCUGCGUUCCGGGGCCUUCUUUUCCUCCCCACUCCCCACCAUCCUGACUGGUCCUGCCUGUCCUUGCUUCUGACCCCAUCAUCCUGGAGGCCUGAGCUUCUGCACAGAGAGGUAGAGGCCUCCCUCACCCAGGGACAGAGGAGGAGGGUCUCUCCAGGCCCAGGCCCAGGCCCAGGCCCAGCAUCAGAGCCGAGCGGGUCAGGCCUGGCCAGAAGUUUUAAUGAAGAGAACAACAAACGACGGGCAGGGAGGGGCGGCCGCACACGCCGUUCCCAAUUUAAUCUUCCCUUUUGGCAGAAACUGACUUCUCUGCAAGAACAAUGAAAAGUCAGGGUGGAGUUUCCCCUGCCACUCAGCGCCCGAGGAAAGUCCUGUGGCUGGGAGGGCUGGCGGGGGCUCUGGGGGGUGCCCGCGGGGCAGGCCAGGAGGGCUGGUCGGGUGGCCUGCCAGGCUCUGCUGCCGUGCCUGUCACCCUGAGGUCCCGGGCCCCGCCUGCUGUGCAGACAGCCACACUGUGGCCUACACUGUUCCCCUGCAGGGCUGGCCUUGGUGACAUCCUGGGGUCAGUUGGAGAGGC
Long non-coding RNA from Sciurus carolinensis (gray squirrel), 3482 nucleotides. RefSeq lists it as uncharacterized. The record is from RefSeq and is a predicted model, not a curated record. The transcript is spliced from 4 exons. Lineage: Eukaryota; Metazoa; Chordata; Mammalia; Rodentia; Sciuridae.